AAUAAAUUGAGGGGCGCCACCCUUGGUCUUCGGUCCACCCCUUCCCAUCAUGCAACACAGUAUAGAUAAGAUGUUCAGUCUUGCUUUCUUUGGGCAACUGUAAAGAAAGAGAAAUAAUGGAGAUCGAGCAAGAAAUAGAAGUUUCAGAACCUGUGAGUCCUACGGGACAAUAUCUGAGCACUUCUAUUUUAUCACUUUGUAUUAUUGGAGUUCUGGAAUCUGAAGUUCCCAUCGAUGACUCUCAAACUAUGGCAUUGCUCAAGGAUGUGUUCCUUCCUAUCAAUCCUCGUUUCUCUUCUGUUAUGGUUAUAAACAAAAAAGGAGAGAAACGUUGGAAGAAAGUUGAAGUGAGGCUCAAAGAUCACGUAAAAGUACCUAUAUUCCCAGCUGGAAAGUCAAGAAAAUUUUAUGACGAUUGCCUUGACGAUUAUCUAUCAAAGAUAGCCAUGGAAGAGCUACCACAAAGCCAACCAUUGUGGGAAAUUCACAUAAUAAAAUACCCAACUAGUGAAGCAGAAGGAAAUGCAAUCUUCAAGCUUCACCACUCGCUCGGCGAUGGCUUCUCUCUAAUGGGAGCUCUUCUUUCAUGCUUACAAAGGGCUGAUAAUCCUGCAAUGCCCUUGACAUUUCCAUCUGUUCAGUUGCAUAAUAAUAAGUUGAAGGGAAAAAGGAAUAGCAUAUGCAGAAGCUUGCUAAGUUUUUUCUCUUGGGGGUUGCAUACUAUAUCGGAUUUUGGUUCAAGCAUUAUAAAGAGUAGUUUGUUUGAAGAUGAUAAAUCUCCUAUCCGAUCUGGGCAUCCUGCAGUGGAGUGUCUGCCUGUUUCUGUUGUAACAUUGUCUUUCUCUCUUCAUCAUAUCAAACAAAUCAGGACCAAGCUUGGAGUGACGAUAAAUGAUGUAAUUACGGGGACAAUUUUUCUGGCAACUCGAUUGUACAUGGAAACAGUGAAGCAAGGUUCAGGGAAGGCACGAACAACAUCAUUGGUGCUGCUAAAUACAAGGAUGUUUGGAGGCUACAAGUCUGUCCAAGAAAUGGUUAAACCUGAUGCUGAGGUGCCAUGGGGCAACCAUUUCGCAUUCAUGUCUGUGUCCAUUCCAAAAUUGAGUGCCUCAGAUGUUAAAGAUCCUCUCCAAUUUGUUUGGAAAGCUAGGAAAGUCAUCCAAAGAAAGAGAAGUUCUUUUGCCGUUUUCCUCACUGCUAAAUACCUUCAGCUUGUCAGGAAAUUUAGAGGCCCUGAGGUAUGACAUAUGUACAUACAUAGAAACUUUUGAACUUUUGUUCACUGAUUCUGAGUGUUUGAUAAGGAAAUGAUUUUGCAGGCAGUAUCUAAACAUCUCCAUGGCACAUUGAAGAAUACAAGCUUGGGAAUCACAAAUGUGAUAGGACCAAUGGAACAGAUGGCUUUAGCUAAUCAUCCUGUCAAAGGCUUAUACUUUGUGGUCACUGGUGCACCUCAGGUAAACAACUCUGCUCCCUACAAGCAUACAGAUUUUACUAGGAUUUAUAAACGACACACAUGUUUUUUUAUGGAAUUGCAGAGUCUGAUGACAGGGGUGUUAAGUUACAUGGGAAAGCUUAGGGUUGCUGCUCUAGUAGAAAAGGACUUCAUAGAUCCACAGAACUUCAAAUUUCAUAUGCAGAAUGCUUUUGACAUGAUAUUCAAGGCUGCAUUUGGCGCUUCUCCUUCACCAGCCAAUUAAAACAAGACGCAUAGUUUCUGUACCAAACUUUCCUUUCCUGUUCUUAAUUCCCUCCCAAUCACAGAUAAAUAUCGGGUAUAUCAUGUAUUCAUAUUCAAAAUACAUAUGUAAGACCUAUAUAUUUAAUGAGUGAAUCCCAUUACUUGAAU
Molecule: unclassified non-coding RNA, 1849 nt
Filed under: Hevea brasiliensis (rubber tree)
Lineage: Eukaryota; Viridiplantae; Streptophyta; Magnoliopsida; Malpighiales; Euphorbiaceae
Source: RNAcentral